This 255-nucleotide ribosomal RNA is filed under the name uncultured bacterium. RNAcentral describes it as "partial 16S ribosomal RNA". It matches the Rfam family "Bacterial small subunit ribosomal RNA", at positions 57 to 305 of the family's 1533-position model. The record is from RNAcentral.
GCAAGUCGAGGGGUAACAGAUGAUGAGCUUGUACAGAUUGCUGACAACGGCGCACGGGUGAGUAACACGUAUGCAACCUACCUUUUACAGAGGGAUAGCCCAGAGAAAUUUGGAUUAAUACCUCAUAAUAUUUUUACUCGCAUGGGUUUCAAAUUAAAUAUUCGGUGGUAAAAGAUGGGCAUGCGUUCUAUCAGUUUGUUGGUGAGGUAACGGCUCACCAAGACUACGAUAGAUAGGGGUUCUGAGAGGAUAGUC